RNAcentral lists this ribosomal RNA (552 nucleotides) under uncultured bacterium. RNAcentral's name for it is "partial 16S ribosomal RNA". It matches the Rfam family "Bacterial small subunit ribosomal RNA", at positions 355 to 898 of the family's 1533-position model. The record is from RNAcentral.
UAGGGAAUCUUCCACAAUGGACGCAAGUCUGAUGGAGCAACGCCGCGUGAGUGAAGAAGGUUUUCGGACCGUAAAGCUCUGUUGUUGGUGAAGAAGGAUAGAGGUAGUAACUGGCCUUUAUUUGACGGUAAUCAACCAGAAAGUCACGGCUAACUACGUGCCAGCAGCCGCGGUAAUACGUAGGUGGCAGGCGUUGUCCGGAUUUAUUGGGCGUAAAGCGAGCGCAGGCGGAAGAAUAAGUCUGAUGUGAAAGCCCUCGGCUUAACCGAGGAAUUGCAUCGGAAACUGUUUUCUUGAGUGCAGAAGAGGAGAGUAGAACUCCAUGUGUAGCGGUGGAAUGCGUAGAUAUAUGGAAGAAUACCAGUGGCGAAGGCGGCUCUCUGGUCUGCAACUGACGCUGAGGCUCGAAAGCAUGGGUAGCGAACAGGAUUAGAUACCCUGGUAGUCCAUGCCGUAAACGAUGAGUGCUAAGUGUUGGGAGGCUUCCGCCUCUCAGUGCUGCAGCUAACGCAUUAAGCACUCCGCCUGGGGGAGUACGACCGCAAGGUUGAA